CAUCUCGCUAUUAGACGCAAUGAUAAAAGGUGUUAAUGGACCAUAACAAAAGUCUCCCAUUGUGGGGAGACUUUUUAAGCUGUU
RNAcentral lists this small RNA (84 nucleotides) under Citrobacter gillenii. RNAcentral describes it as "Enterobacterial sRNA STnc230". It matches the Rfam family "Enterobacterial sRNA STnc230". The record is from RNAcentral. Lineage: Bacteria; Pseudomonadati; Pseudomonadota; Gammaproteobacteria; Enterobacterales; Enterobacteriaceae.